GGUUGAUCCUGCCAGUAGUCAUAUGCUUGUCUCAACGAUUAAGCCAUGCAUGUCUCAGUGUAAACUUUUAAACAGUGAAACUGCGAAUGGCUCAUUAAAACAGUUAUAGUUUAUUUGGUAAUCAUUUUUACAUGGAUAACCGUGGGAAUUCUAGGGCUAAUACAUGCGUAAACCCGUAAGGGAUGUGUUUAUUAGAUUAACACCAACACUGUGCUUGCACAGUUCCAUUGGAGUGAUAAUAACCGAUCGAAUCGCACGCUUUAUGUGGCGAUAAACCAUUCAAGUUUCUGAC
RNAcentral lists this ribosomal RNA (292 nucleotides) under uncultured eukaryote. RNAcentral describes it as "partial 18S ribosomal RNA". It matches the Rfam family "Eukaryotic small subunit ribosomal RNA", at positions 6 to 311 of the family's 1831-position model. The record is from RNAcentral.